CUACGGGUCGCAGCAGUGAGGAAUAUUGGUCAAUGGGCGCGAGCCUGAACCAGCCAUCCCGCGUGCAGGAUGACGGCCCUAUGGGUUGUAAACUGCUUUUCUAUGCCAAGAAACCCUGUUACGAGUAACAGGUUGCCGGUAGCAUAGGAAUAAGCAUCGGCUAACUCCGUGCCAGCAGCCGCGGUAAUACGGAGGAUGCAAGCGUUAUCCGGAUUCAUUGGGUUUAAAGGGUGCGCAGGUGGGCUUGUAAGUCAGUGGUGAAAUGCUGCCGCUUAACGGUAGAACUGCCAUUGAUACUGCGAGUCUUGAGUAUGGUUGAGGUAGGCGGAAUGUGUUGUGUAGCGGUGAAAUGCAUAGAUAUGACACAGAACGCCAAUUGCGAAGGCAGCUUACUAAGCCAUUACUGACGCUGAGGCACGAAAGCGUGGGGAGCGAACAGGAUUAAAUACCCUUGUAGUC
Molecule: ribosomal RNA, 459 nt
Filed under: uncultured bacterium
Lineage: Bacteria
Description: partial 16S ribosomal RNA
Rfam family: Bacterial small subunit ribosomal RNA
Source: RNAcentral